UGGGGAAUUUUGGACAAUGGGCGAAAGCCUGAUCCAGCAAUGCCGCGUGUGUGAAGAAGGCCUUCGGGUUGUAAAGCACUUUUGUCCGGAAAGAAAUCCUUGGCUCUAAUACAGUCGGGGGAUGACGGUACCGGAAGAAUAAGCACCGGCUAACUACGUGCCAGCAGCCGCGGUAAUACGUAGGGUGCAAGCGUUAAUCGGAAUUACUGGGCGUAAAGCGUGCGCAGGCGGUUUGCUAAGACCGAUGUGAAAUCCCCGGGCUCAACCUGGGAACUGCAUUGGUGACUGGCAGGCUAGAGUAUGGCAGAGGGGGGUAGAAUUCCACGUGUAGCAGUGAAAUGCGUAGAGAUGUGGAGGAAUACCGAUGGCGAAAGGCAGCCCCCUGGGCCAAAUACUGACGCUCAUGCACGAAAGCGUGGGGAGCAAACAGGAUUAGAUACCCUGGUAGUCCACGCCCUAAACGAUGUCAGCUAGUUGUUGGGGAUUCAUUUCCUUAGUAACGUAGCUAACGCGUGAAGUUGACCGCCUGGGGAGUACGGUCGCAAGAUUAAAACUCAAAUGAAUUGACGGGGUCAUAGCUGUUUCCU
RNAcentral lists this ribosomal RNA (587 nucleotides) under uncultured bacterium. Its description in RNAcentral is "partial 16S ribosomal RNA". It matches the Rfam family "Bacterial small subunit ribosomal RNA", at positions 355 to 1375 of the family's 1533-position model. The record is from RNAcentral.